Molecule: ribosomal RNA, 330 nt
Filed under: uncultured bacterium
Lineage: Bacteria
Description: bacterial SSU rRNA
Rfam family: Bacterial small subunit ribosomal RNA
Source: RNAcentral
CGUAGGCGGGACUGCAAGUCAGAUGUGAAAUCUGGGGGCGUUAACCCUCAAACUGCAUUUGAAACUGUGGUUCUUGAGUAUCGGAGAGGCAGGCGGAAUUCCAAGUGUAGCGGUGAAAUGCGUAGAUAUUUGGAGGAACACCAGUGGCGAAGGCGGCCUGCUGGACGACAACUGACGCUGAGGCGCGAAAGCGUGGGGAGCAAACAGGAUUAGAUACCCUGGUAGUCCACGCUGUAAACGAUGAAUACUAGGUGUGGGGGGACUAACCCCCUCCGUGCCGGAGUUAACACAAUAAGUAUUCCACCUGGGGAGUACGGCCGCAAGGUUGAA